This 795-nucleotide ribosomal RNA is filed under the name uncultured Bacillota bacterium. RNAcentral's name for it is "bacterial SSU rRNA". It matches the Rfam family "Bacterial small subunit ribosomal RNA", at positions 61 to 834 of the family's 1533-position model. Lineage: Bacteria; Bacillati; Bacillota. The record is from RNAcentral.
GUCGAGCGAGGCGGAGGGGGCAACUCCUCUAGCCGAGCGGCGGACGGGUGAGUAACACGUGGGUAACCUGCCCGGAAGUGGGGAAUACCUCGGGGAAACUCGAGCUAAUGCCGCACGACAUCUCCGGGACGAAAGUCCUGGCGAUCAAAGCGGGGUCGCAAGAUCUCGCGCUACCGGAUGGGCCCGCGCCCGAUUAGCUAGUUGGCGAGGUAAUGGCUCACCAAGGCGACGAUCGGUAGCCGGCCUGAGAGGGUGAUCGGCCACACCGGAACUGAGACACGGUCCGGACUCCUACGGGAGGCAGCAGUGGGGAAUCUUGCGCAAUGGGCGAAAGCCUGACGCAGCAACGCCGCGUGGAGGAUGAAGGCCCUUGGGUUGUAAACUCCUGUCGGCUGGGAAGAAAUCGUGCGGUGCUCAUACCACCGUACGUUGACUGUACCAGCAAAGGAAGCCCCGGCUAACUCUGUGCCAGCAGCCGCGGUAAUACAGAGGGGGCCAGCGUUAUUCGGAAUUAUUGGGCGUAAAGGGCGCGUAGGCGGCCUAGCGUGUCUUUCGUGAAAUCCCUCGGCUUAACUGAGGACGUGCGGAAGAAACUGCAGGGCUUGAGUCCGGGAGAGGGGGGUGGAAUUCCCAGUGUAGCGGUGAAAUGCGUAGAUAUUGGGAGGAACACCGGUGGCGAAGGCGGCCCCCUGGACCGGUACUGACGCUGAGGCGCGAAAGCGUGGGGAGCAAACGGGAUUAGAUACCCCGGUAGUCCACGCCGUAAACGAUGGGCACUUGGUGUCGCGGGUAUCG